This 369-nucleotide ribosomal RNA is filed under the name uncultured organism. Its description in RNAcentral is "bacterial SSU rRNA". It matches the Rfam family "Bacterial small subunit ribosomal RNA", at positions 527 to 896 of the family's 1533-position model. The record is from RNAcentral.
GAAGGGUGCUAGCGUUGUUCGGAAUCACGUGGGCGUAAAGCGCGCGUAGGCGGCUUUCCAAGUCAGGGGUGAAAUCCUGGGGCUCAACCCUAGAAUUGCCUUUGAAACUGGAAAGCUGGAGUAUUGGAGGGGAGUGCGGAAUUCCUAAUGUAGAGGUGAAAUUCGUAGAUAUUAGGAGGAACACCGGUGGCGAAGGCGGCACUCUGGACAAUAACUGACGCUCUGGCGCGAAAGCGCGGGGAUCAAACAGGAUUAGAUACCCUGGUAGUCCGCGCUGUAAACGAUGGAUGCUAGCCGUAGGGGGGUUACCCCUCUGUGGCGUAGCUAACGCGUUAAGCAUCCCGCCUGGGGAGUACGGUCGCAAGAUUA